CCUACGGGGAGCAGCAGUGGGGAAUAUUGGACAAUGGGGGGAACCCUGAUCCAGCGACGCCGCGUGAGUGAAGAAGUAUUUCGGUAUGUAAAGCUCUAUCAGCAGGGAAGAAAGAAAUGACGGUACCUGACUAAGAAGCCCCGGCUAACUACGUGCCAGCAGCCGCGGGAAUACGUAGGGGGCAAGCGUUAUCCGGAUUUACUGGGUGUAAAGGGAGCGUAGACGGCGAUGCAAGUCUGAAGUGAAAGGCGGGGGCCCAACCCCUGGACUGCUUUGGAAACUGUAUGGCUGGAGUGCAGGAGAGGUAAGUGGAAUUCCUAGUGUAGCGGUGAAAUGCGUAGAUAUUAGGAGGAACACCAGUGGCGAAGGCGGCUUACUGGACUGUAACUGACGUUGAGGCUCGAAAGCGUGGGGAGCAAACAGGAUUAGAUACCCCAGUAGUC
Molecule: ribosomal RNA, 443 nt
Filed under: uncultured bacterium
Lineage: Bacteria
Description: partial 16S ribosomal RNA
Rfam family: Bacterial small subunit ribosomal RNA
Source: RNAcentral